Molecule: ribosomal RNA, 1457 nt
Filed under: Cyanobium sp. JJ12-6
Lineage: Bacteria; Bacillati; Cyanobacteriota; Cyanophyceae; Synechococcales; Prochlorococcaceae
Description: 16S ribosomal RNA
Rfam family: Bacterial small subunit ribosomal RNA
Source: RNAcentral
GAUGAACGCUGGCGGCGUGCUUAACACAUGCAAGUCGAACGAGCCUUCGGGCUAGUGGCGGACGGGUGAGUAACGCGUGGGAAUCUGCCCUCAGGAGGGGGAUAACGGCCGGAAACGGCCGCUAAUACCCCAUAUGCCGAGAGGUGAAAUGAAUUUCGCCUGAGGAUGAGCCCGCGUCUGAUUAGCUAGUUGGUGUGGUAAUGGCGCACCAAGGCUUCGAUCAGUAGCUGGUCUGAGAGGAUGAUCAGCCACACUGGGACUGAGACACGGCCCAGACUCCUACGGGAGGCAGCAGUGGGGAAUUUUCCGCAAUGGGCGCAAGCCUGACGGAGCAACGCCGCGUGAGGGACGAAGGCCUCUGGGCUGUAAACCUCUUUUCUCAAGGAAGAAGACAUGACGGUACUUGAGGAAUAAGCCACGGCUAAUUCCGUGCCAGCAGCCGCGGUAAUACGGGAGUGGCAAGCGUUAUCCGGAAUUAUUGGGCGUAAAGCGUCCGCAGGCGGCCCAGCAAGUCUGUUGUUAAAAAGUGGAGCUUAACUCCAUCCAGGCAAUGGAAACUGCUGGGCUAGAGUGUGGUAGGGGCAGAGGGAAUUCCCGGUGUAGCGGUGAAAUGCGUAGAUAUCGGGAAGAACACCAGUGGCGAAGGCGCUCUGCUGGGCCAUAACUGACGCUCAUGGACGAAAGCCAGGGGAGCGAAAGGGAUUAGAUACCCCUGUAGUCCUGGCCGUAAACGAUGAACACUAGGUGUCGGGGGAAUCGACCCCCUCGGUGUCGUAGCCAACGCGUUAAGUGUUCCGCCUGGGGAGUACGCACGCAAGUGUGAAACUCAAAGGAAUUGACGGGGGCCCGCACAAGCGGUGGAGUAUGUGGUUUAAUUCGAUGCAACGCGAAGAACCUUACCAGGGUUUGACAUCCUGCGAAUCCCUUGGAAACUUGGGAGUGCCUUCGGGAGCGCAGUGACAGGUGGUGCAUGGCUGUCGUCAGCUCGUGUCGUGAGAUGUUGGGUUAAGUCCCGCAACGAGCGCAACCCACGUCUUUAGUUGCCAGCAUUUAGUUGGGCACUCUAGAGAGACCGCCGGUGAUAAACCGGAGGAAGGUGUGGAUGACGUCAAGUCAUCAUGCCCCUUACAUCCUGGGCUACACACGUACUACAAUGCUACGGACAAAGGGCAGCAAACUCGCGAGAGCUAGCAAAUCCCAUAAACCGUGGCUCAGUUCAGAUCGUAGGCUGCAACUCGCCUACGUGAAGGAGGAAUCGCUAGUAAUCGCAGGUCAGCAUACUGCGGUGAAUACGUUCCCGGGCCUUGUACACACCGCCCGUCACACCAUGGAAGUUGGCCAUGCCCGAAGUCGUUACUCCAACCCGUAAGGGAGGAGGACGCCGAAGGUGGGGCUGAUGACUGGGGUGAAGUCGUAACAAGGUAGCCGUACCGGAAGGUGCGGCUGGAUCACCUCCU